RNAcentral lists this unclassified non-coding RNA (461 nucleotides) under Botryotinia sp. FBCC2327. Its description in RNAcentral is "sequence contains 18S rRNA gene, ITS1, 5.8S rRNA gene, ITS2 and 28S rRNA gene". Lineage: Eukaryota; Fungi; Ascomycota; Leotiomycetes; Helotiales; Sclerotiniaceae. The record is from RNAcentral.
UUUGGGUUUUGGCAGAAGCACACCGAGAACCUGUAACGAGAGAUAUUACUACGUUCAGGACCCAGCGGCGCCGCCACUGAUUUUAGAGCCUGCCAUUACUGACAUAGACUCAAUACCAAGCUAAGCUUGAGGGUUGAAAUGACGCUCGAACAGGCAUGCCCCCCGGAAUACCAAGGGGCGCAAUGUGCGUUCAAAGAUUCGAUGAUUCACUGAAUUCUGCAAUUCACAUUACUUAUCGCAUUUCGCUGCGUUCUUCAUCGAUGCCAGAACCAAGAGAUCCGUUGUUGAAAGUUUUAACUAUUAUAUAGUACUCAGACGACAUUAAUAAAAAGAGUUUUGGUAUUCUCUGGCGAGCAUACAAGGCCCGAAGGCAGCUCGCCAAAGCAACAAAGUAAUAAUACACAAGGGUGGGAGGUCUACCCUUUCGGGCAUGAACUCUGUAAUGAUCCUUCCGCAGGUUC